UGCCAGCAGCCGCGGUAAUACGAAGGUCCCAAGCGUUGUUCGGAAUCACUGGGCGUAAAGAGUUCGUAGGUGGUUGAAAAAGUUGGUGGUGAAAUCCCAGAGCUUAACUCUGGAACUGCCAUCAAAACUUUUCAGCUAGAGUUUGAUAGAGGAAAGCAGAAUUUCUAGUGUAGAGGUGAAAUUCGUAGAUAUUAGAAAGAAUACCAAUUGCGAAGGCAGCUUUCUGGAUCAUUACUGACACUGAAGAACGAAAGCAUGGGUAGCGAAGAGGAUUAGAUA
Molecule: ribosomal RNA, 279 nt
Filed under: uncultured bacterium
Lineage: Bacteria
Description: partial 16S ribosomal RNA
Rfam family: Bacterial small subunit ribosomal RNA
Source: RNAcentral